RNAcentral lists this non-coding RNA (33 nucleotides) under Eutreptiella gymnastica. Lineage: Eukaryota; Euglenozoa; Euglenophyceae; Eutreptiales; Eutreptiaceae. The record is from RNAcentral.
UUUCAGUUGAGGCGGACCCAGAAAGGACGCAAG